ACCCUCGGAGAGAGGGGGGGAAGUGCCGAAGGUGUGCCUGGUGAGGGGGGUGAAGUCGUAACAAGGUAGCCGUAGCGGAAGCUGCGGCUGGAUCACCUCCUUUCUAAGGAGA
This 112-nucleotide ribosomal RNA is filed under the name Synergistota bacterium. RNAcentral describes it as "Synergistetes bacterium (hot springs metagenome) partial 16S ribosomal RNA". It matches the Rfam family "Bacterial small subunit ribosomal RNA", at positions 1437 to 1533 of the family's 1533-position model. Lineage: Bacteria; Thermotogati; Synergistota. The record is from RNAcentral.